GGAAUCUUCCGCAAUGGACGAAAGUCUGACGGAGCAACGCCGCGUGAGUGAUGAAGGUUUUCGGAUCGUAAAACUCUGUUGUUAGGGAAGAACAAGUACCGUUCGAACAGGGCGGUGCCUUGACGGUACCUAACCAGAAAGCCACGGCUAACUACGUGCCAGCAGCCGCGGUAAUACGUAGGUGGCAAGCGUUGUCCGGAAUUAUUGGGCGUAAAGCGCGCGCAGGCGGUUUCUUAAGUCUGAUGUGAAAGCCCCCGGCUCAACCGGGGAGGGUCAUUGGAAACUGGGGAACUUGAGUGCAGAAGAGGAGAGUGGAAUUCCACGUGUAGCGGUGAAAUGCGUAGAGAUGUGGAGGAACACCAGUGGCGAAGGCGACUCUCUGGUCUGUAACUGACGCUGAGGCGCGAAAGCGUGGGGAGCGAACAGGAUUAGAUACCCUGGUAGUCCACGCCGUAAACGAUGAGUGCUAAGUGAUAGAGGAUUUCCGCCCUUU
RNAcentral lists this ribosomal RNA (493 nucleotides) under Bacillus sonorensis. RNAcentral describes it as "bacterial SSU rRNA". It matches the Rfam family "Bacterial small subunit ribosomal RNA", at positions 358 to 841 of the family's 1533-position model. Lineage: Bacteria; Bacillati; Bacillota; Bacilli; Caryophanales; Bacillaceae. The record is from RNAcentral.